Molecule: long non-coding RNA, 551 nt
Organism: Homarus americanus (American lobster)
Lineage: Eukaryota; Metazoa; Arthropoda; Malacostraca; Decapoda; Nephropidae
Exons: 3
Source: RefSeq, a predicted model, not a curated record
AUCAAUCAUCCGCUGCACAGUCAGUGGACGACGAAUGAUCCGUGCGUCACUAAUGUUUGUACCGAGGCUGGUAUUACAGAUCUUCGUAUAAAUUGUCCUUCAAGACCACCACCACCCCAUCACAGCUGCAGUUCUUACAAGCCAGAAGGAGAAUGUUGCCCACUCUGGAAAUGCAGUGGGUGUGUUGAUGAGGCGGGCGAACACCAUGAAUUUGGUAAGGAGUGGUACAUCGAGGACCCCUGCCUUACCUACACCUGUACACAGGAUGGAAUAAAACUGAAGUACAGGUAUUGUAUUCUGGCUCUUCCGCCUCACUCCAGCUGCAAGGAAUAUAGGCCGGAGGGUGUUUGCUGCCCUACUUGGAACUGUAGUGGGUGUGUUGACGACCUGGGGGAGUACCACGAGCUCUAUAGCAGCUGGCAGUCAGACAUGUGUACCUCCCAUGUGUGUUCUCUUAAUGGGACAUACACCACGGCUAUGGAGUGCCCUGACCCACCUCAUGCGAACUGCGUGAACAUUACCCAAGAAGGAUCAUGUUGUCCCCAUUGGAG